UACGUAGGGCGCAAGCGUUGUCCGGAAUUAUUGGGCGUAAAGAGCUCGUAGGCGGCCUGUUACGUCUGCUGUGAAAUCCCGGGGCUUAACCCCGGGCGUGCAGUGGAUACGGGCAGGCUGGAGGCAGGCAGGGGAGAACGGAAUUCCUGGUGUAGCGGUGAAAUGCGCAGAUAUCAGGAGGAACACCGGUGGCGAAGGCGGGUCUCUGGGCCGAUACUGACGCUGAGGAGCGAAAGCGUGGGGAGCGAACAGG
This 253-nucleotide ribosomal RNA is filed under the name uncultured bacterium. RNAcentral's name for it is "partial 16S ribosomal RNA". It matches the Rfam family "Bacterial small subunit ribosomal RNA", at positions 524 to 776 of the family's 1533-position model. The record is from RNAcentral.